CCUACGGGGAGCAGCAGUCGAGAAUCAUUCACAAUGGGGGAAACCCUGAUGGUGCGACGCCGCGUGGGGGAAUGAAGGUCUUCGGAUUGUAAACCCCUGUCAUGUGGGAGCAAAUUAAAAAGAUAGUACCACAAGAGGAAGAGACGGCUAACUCUGUGCCAGCAGCCGCGGUAAUACAGAGGUCUCAAGCGUUGUUCGGAAUCACUGGGCGUAAGGCGUGCGUAGGCUGUUUCGUAAGUCGUGUGUGAAAGGCGCGGGCUCAACCCGCGGACGGCACAUGAUACUGCGAGACUAGAGUAAUGGAGGGGGAACCGGAAUUCUCGGUGUAGCAGUGAAAUGCGUAGAGAUCGAGAGGAACACUCGUGGCGAAGGCGGGUUCCUGGACAUUAACUGACGCUGAGGCACGAAGGCCAGGGGAGCGAAAGGGAUUAGAUACCCGUGUAGUC
This 446-nucleotide ribosomal RNA is filed under the name uncultured bacterium. RNAcentral's name for it is "partial 16S ribosomal RNA". It matches the Rfam family "Bacterial small subunit ribosomal RNA", at positions 338 to 795 of the family's 1533-position model. The record is from RNAcentral.